Molecule: ribosomal RNA, 247 nt
Filed under: uncultured Methanosaeta sp.
Lineage: Archaea; Methanobacteriati; Methanobacteriota; Methanomicrobia; Methanotrichales; Methanotrichaceae
Description: partial 16S ribosomal RNA
Rfam family: Archaeal small subunit ribosomal RNA
Source: RNAcentral
UGUGGGGACCGCCGCUGCUAAAGCGGAGGAAGGAAUCGGGCAACGGUUAGGUCAGUAUGCCCCGAAUAUCCCGGGCUACACGGCGAGCUACAAUGGUUGGUACAAUGGGUAUCUACCCCGAAAGGGGAACGGGAAUCUCCUAAAACCAAUCUUUAGUUCGGAUUGAGGGCUGCAACUCGCCCUCAUGAAGCUGGAAUCCGUAGUAAUCGCGUUUCAACAGAACGCGGUGAAUACGUCCCUGCUCCUU